UGCCAGCUGGGCACAAUCAGGGCUUAUUGUCCUUCCCCUUUUCUCCUUUUUCCGUUUUCCUGUUCCAUUCUGUUUUCUCUUUGACUUUUUUCCCUUUAUUUUCCCCUUUUCUCUGUUCCCCUUUUCUCCUCUUCCAUUUCCCGUCUUUAUUUUUCUUGUUUUCCUGUUUCCCUUUUUCCCCCUUUUUUUCUUUCUUUUUACUCAGCCGUGCUGAAUAGGUCAGAUGAGGAGCAAAGAGAAGGGCUAUACCUAUAUUGGGGAUGGGAUGCCAGAGCAGGGGGCUCCACACUUGCCCACAGCCUGCUAUUUAUCAGAGUGAACAUCCAUAGGGAGCACUUAGCUUAGCUUACAGUUAAACUUGUCAGAGAGGGUCGGAAACAAACACACCCCAAGGCAAGGAGCGCUGCAAGCUGGUGCUCCCUCAGGACAGCCCCACAACUACUGCCCACGAGAGGAGGGACACCAAUUCUCAAUAUGCCUCUGGACCUACUGCCAAGAUCCCAGUUAUCAUGACUUAGUCCUCCUUGCUGCAGUGGAAUUGCUGAAUUCACACACCAGGAUCAUGGGAGUAUUUUUAGGAGAUAAAAAGGAAUAUAAAUCAAAAACUGAACACAAUAGAGGAGUCUAGACAAAUGCCCUAGCUGAGGAAGAGGGAAACACAUCCCCUGACUGGCUUUUAACCGUCGCCAUCACCUAAGAAAGAACAGACGAUAUUAGGCUCUGAGAAGCCAGGAGAUAGAGACAGAGAGCCCUGGUGCUGCCACCACGGAAGGAGCGGGGACAGCUGUUGUUCUGGACUUCA
Vidua chalybeata is the source of this 802-nucleotide long non-coding RNA. RefSeq lists it as uncharacterized. The record is from RefSeq and is a predicted model, not a curated record. The transcript is spliced from 3 exons. Lineage: Eukaryota; Metazoa; Chordata; Aves; Passeriformes; Viduidae.